UGGGGAAUAUUGGACAAUGGGCGGAAGCCUGAUCCAGCCAUGCCGCGUGUGUGAAGAAGGCCUUUUGGUUGUAAAGCACUUUAAGCGAGGAGGAGGCUACUUGGAUUAAUACUCUAGGAUAGUGGACGUUACUCGCAGAAUAAGCACCGGCUAACUCUGUGCCAGCAGCCGCGGUAAUACAGAGGGUGCGAGCGUUAAUCGGAUUUACUGGGCGUAAAGCGUGCGUAGGCGGCUUCUUAAGUCGGAUGUGAAAUCCCUGAGCUUAACUUAGGAAUUGCAUUCGAUACUGGGAAGCUAGAGUAUGAGAGAGGAUGGUAGAAUUCCAGGUGUAGCGGUGAAAUGCGUAGAGAUCUGGAGGAAUACCGAUGGCGAAGGCAGCCAUCUGGCCUAAUACUGACGCUGAGGUACGAAAGCAUGGGGAGCAAACAGG
RNAcentral lists this ribosomal RNA (430 nucleotides) under bacterium. RNAcentral's name for it is "partial 16S ribosomal RNA". It matches the Rfam family "Bacterial small subunit ribosomal RNA", at positions 355 to 776 of the family's 1533-position model. The record is from RNAcentral.